GGGCACCACCAGGGGGUGUAGCCGCGGCCUAUUUGACUCAACACGGGAAAUCUCACCAGGCCCGGACACCGGAAGGAUUGACAGAUUAACAGCUCUUUCUAGAUUCGGUGGGUGGUGGUGCAUGGCCGUUCUUAGUUGGUGGAGCGAUUUGUCUGGUUACUUCCGGUAACGAACGAGACUCUAGCCUGCUAAAUAGGCGUCGCCAUUUAGGUGUGCUCGACUUCGGUCGUGCAACUCACUGGCGACGUAUUAAAAUUCUUCUUAGAGGGACCGGCGGCUUCGAGCCGCACGAGAUUGAGCAAUAACAGGUCUGUGAUGCCCUUAGAUGUCCUGGGCCGCACGCGCGCUACAUUGAAGGAAUCA
This 363-nucleotide ribosomal RNA is filed under the name Onryza maga. RNAcentral describes it as "SSU rRNA". It matches the Rfam family "Eukaryotic small subunit ribosomal RNA", at positions 1162 to 1514 of the family's 1831-position model. The record is from RNAcentral. Lineage: Eukaryota; Metazoa; Arthropoda; Insecta; Lepidoptera; Hesperiidae.